RNAcentral lists this ribosomal RNA (119 nucleotides) under Sorghum bicolor (sorghum). RNAcentral also lists the same sequence under 1 other name. Lineage: Eukaryota; Viridiplantae; Streptophyta; Magnoliopsida; Poales; Poaceae. The record is from RNAcentral.
GGAUGCGAUCAUACCAGCACUAAAGCACCGGAUCCCAUCAGAACUCCGAAGUUAAGCGUGCUUGGGCGAGAGUAGUACUAGGAUGGGUGACCUCCUGGGAAGUCCUCGCGUUGCAUUCC